RNAcentral lists this ribosomal RNA (2928 nucleotides) under Bacillus sp. UFRGS-B20. Its description in RNAcentral is "bacterial LSU rRNA". It matches the Rfam family "Bacterial large subunit ribosomal RNA". Lineage: Bacteria; Bacillati; Bacillota; Bacilli; Caryophanales; Bacillaceae. The record is from RNAcentral.
UUGGUUAAGUAGAAAGGGCGCCGGUGGGAUGCCUUGGACACUAGGAGUCGAUUGAAGGACGGAACUAACGCCGAUAUGCUCUGGGAGCGGUAGAAAGCUUGGAUCCGAAGAUUUUCCGAUGGGAACCCGACCAUAUAAAUGGUAUGUUUACCUUAUCCUGAAUUACAUAGGGUAAGAAGACGGACCCAGGGAACUGAGAACGAUCUAACCUGGAGGAAGGAAAGCAAAUGCGAUUUCCUGAGUAGCGCGAAGCGAAAGGAACUAGCGCCAACCAAGAGGCCUUGCCUCUUGGGGUUGUAGAACAUUCCUAUACGGAGUUUACAAAGGAACGAGGUAGACGAAGCGGACCUGGAAAGGUCCGUCGAGGUACAACCCCGUAGUCGAAACUCGUUCUCUCGUUGAAUGUAUCCUGAGACGGCGGAACACGUGAAAAUUCCGUCGGAAUCUGGGGAGGACCAUCUCCCAAGCUAAAUACUCCCUAGUGAUCGAUAUGUAACCAGUACCGUGAGGGAAGGAUGAAAAGCACCCCGGAAGGGAGUGAAAGAAUCCUGAAAAACCGUGUGCCUACAAGGAGUCAGAGCCGUUAACGGGUGAUGGCGUGCCUUUUGUAGAUGAACCGGCGAGUUACGAUCCGUGCGAGGUUAAGCUGAAGAGGCGGACAGCCGCAGCGAAGCGAGUCUGGAAUAGGGCGUUUAGUACGUUGGCGUAGACCCGAAACCAGGUGAUCGACCCAUGGCCAGGGUGAGUUCACGGUAAACUGAGAUGGAGCCGAACCCACGCACGUUGAAAAGUGCGGGAUGAGGUGUGGUAGCGGAGAAAUUCCAAUCGAAACCUGGAGGAUAGGCUGGUUCUCCCGAAAUAGCUUUAGGUUAGCCUUAAGUGUAAGAUCUUGGAGGUUAGAGCACUCUGAUUGACUAGGGUCCUCAUCGGAUUACCGAAUCAGUCAAACUACGAAUGCAAUGACUUAUCCUUAGGAGUCAGACUGCGAGUGAUAAGAUCCGUAGUCAAAGGGAAAAAGCCAGAACCCGCAGCCUAAGGUCCCAAAGUGUGUAUUAAGUGGAAAGGAUGGGGAGUUGCUUUUAGACAACUAGGUUGGCUUAGAAGCAGCCACCAUUUCGAAAAUGUACUGGGGCUAAAAUACACCACCGAAGCUGCGGAUUGAUACCAAUGGGAUCAGUGGUGGGGAGCGUUCUAAGGACAGUGAAGUCAGACCGUAAGGACUGGUGGAAAGUGCUUAGAAGUGAGAAUGCCGGUUAUGAGUAGCGAAAGACGGGUGAGAAAUCCCGUCGCACCGAAUGCCUAAGGUUUUCCUGGGAGGCUCGUCCGCUCAGGGUUAGUCCUCGGAACCUAAGCCGAGGCGCACAGGCGUAGGCGAUGGACAAACAGGGUGUUGAUAUUCCCUGUACCACCUCUUUUAUCGUUUGAGCAAAUGGAGGGCCGCAGAAGGAUAGAAGAAGCGUGGAUUGGUUGUGCACGUCCAAGCCAGUUAGGCUGAUAAGUAGGCAAAUCGCUUAUCAAAAAGGCGAAGGCUGUGAUGGGGAAGCUCCUUAUGGAAGCGAAGUCUUUGAUUCCCCCGCUGCCAAGAAAAAGCUUCUAGCUGAGAUAAAAGGUGGCCCCCCCCUGUUAGCCGCAAACCGACACAAGGUAGGCGAGGAGAAGAAUCCUAAGGUGUGGCGGAAGAGAAUCUGGUUAAGGAAACUCGGAAAAAUGACCCCGUAACUUCGGGAGAAGGGUGCUUUCUUAAACGGAAAGCCGGCUAAGUGAAUAGGCCCAAGCGACUGUUUUAGCAAAAACACAGCUCUCUGCUGAAAGCGUAGGCGAAGUAUAGGGGGUGACACCUGCCCGGUGGCUGGAAGGUUAAGGAGAGGGUUAGCGUAAGCGAAGUUUGGAACUGAAGCCCCAGUAAACGGCGGCCCGUAACUUAACGGUCCUAAGGUAGCGCAAAUUCCUUGUCGGGUAAGUUCGCGACCCGACGAAAGGUGUAACGAUUGGGCACUGUCCUCAAACGCAGAGACUCGUGAAAUUAUAGUCGCUGUGGAAGAAUGCAGAGGUUACCCGCGACAGGACGGAAAGACCCGUGGGAGCUUUACUGUAGCCUGAUAUUGAAUUGUUGGUACAGUUUGUACAGGAUAGGCGGGAGCCAUUGAAACCGGGAGCGCUAGCUUCGGUUGGAGGCGCUGGUGGGAUACCGCUGACUGUAUUGAAAUUCUAAUCCUACGGGUCUUAAUCGACCCGGGAGACAAGUAGUCAGGUGGGCCAAGUUUGACUGGGGCGGUCGCCUCCUAAAGUGUAACGGAGGCGCCCAAAGGUUCCUCAGAAUGGUUGGAAAUCAUUUCGUAGAGUGGCAAAGGCAUAAGGGAGCUUGACUGCAGACCUAACAAGUCGAGGAGGGACGAAAGUCGGGCUUAGUGAAUCCGGUGGUUCGCCAUUGGAAGGGCCAUCGCUCAAGCGGAUAAAAGCUACGCCCCGGGGAUAACAAGGCUUAUCUCCCCCAAGAGUCCACAUCGACGGGGCGGUUUGGCACUCGAUGUCGGCUCAUCGCAUCCUGGGGCUGUAGUCGGUCCCCAAGGGUUGGGACUGUUCGCCCAUUAAAGGGUACCGAGCUUGGGUUCAGAACGUCGUGAGACAGUUCGGUCCUAUCCGUCGUGGGCGUAGGAAAUUUGAGAGGAGCUGUCCUUAGUAGCGCGAGGACGGGAUGGACGCACCGCUGGUGUACCAGUUGUUCUGCCAAGGGCAUGCUUGGGUACUAUGUGCGGAAGGGAUAGUGCUGAAAGCAUCUGAAGCAUGAAAGCCCCCCUCAAGAUGAGAUUUCCAUAGCGUAAGCUAGUAGAUCCCUGGGAAAGAUUGAUCAGGUUGAUAGGUUCGAGGUGGAAGCUAUGGUGACAUGUGGGCUGACGAAUACUAAUAGAUCGAGGACUUAACCAUAUA